AUUUCCAAUGGUACAUGACUUAUUAAAAAUCAUCAUUCCCAUAGAUUUUAGUCAUCUUCACACUUAAGCACAUACUUAAUCAUAGUCACCACGUACUAGUUCACAAUUAACCAUUUAAAAACAUGAUUUUGAAUGUAGUAACAUGCCUUAGAGAAAUUGCUCAAGUCCUUACUAGAUAUGCACUCAAUUUUCACACAGAUUUUCGAACUCCACACCCUAUACUAGUUAUAUGUGAGAAGAUUGAUGUAAAUAUGAAAACGAACGCUCACAUAUAUGUAUAACAAAGAAAGCAUUUUCGGGAGUUAAUAAGCAUGUUUAAAUAUGAUCUCAUGAAUGGAAUGCUACUACUUCGAUGCGAGAACCAGCGACACCAUAUGCUCAUACCAAUGUUAAACUCCACAAAUUGAAACACAUAACACUCAAGAUUAAAGUAAAGGGUUGUAACGGGGCUUGGGGUAUUGGCUAACAAAGAAGGGUAAAGGAUAAACAAACGUUCUUAAAACAAUAGUAAGCAAAGCAAUGAAAUUGACACUUAGAAUUCACUUUAGAGUGCAGAAAACAACUUUAAACACAAAGGGGAAUACGCAUGCAUAUUUAGGGUCAAAUGCAACUUUUUGGACCCUUUCUUCAACAAUCAACACUUUUAGAACUCUUUUUCACAUCUUUUCAACUCUUUUUUCAUACUUUUCACAUUUUUUCUUUUUCUUUUUCUUUUUCCACGAAUUUCAUUUUUUUUUCUUUUUCAUGCCUCAUUCAAGACUUUGGCACACCCACAACAAAACUCACUUCCCCCACACUUAUUUUCUGCCAAUAAUGACCAAAAGGAAUUCAUUUUGAGUCAUUUAUUACUAUGCUUCAAGAACAAAGGUAUGGAUGGUCCUAAUCUAGGCUAGGUUAGGAUAAUGUGGGUUAACAAACAACAUAGGCUAAACAAGGCUCAACGGGGUUAAACCUACAAAAACAAAUGCAUGGAAUGAAGGCUUUUUGGCUAUGGUGGUACUACUAAACAACUUCAUCUUGAAUAUGUGUUAUGCAAUUCAAUAACAUGUUUUGAAUGACAUUGGCAUGAGUUCUAGUGUUUGGAACUAAAUGAUGAAACGCCUUCUAAGUAGUAACCAAGCAAAGAAUAAUGAGAUCAUGCAACGACUUUAGAAAACAAGAAUGCACAAAUUUUAACUCUCCAAAUAAACAUUUAGGCUCAAGUCUCACAAGGUUGUAGCGUUUGUUUGAGUUCCUUCCUUCAAGCAUGUUACAAAAACUGAUUUUUUUCUUUAUGAUUACAUGUGAAGUCAUAAGUUAUAACCACAACCAAGCAUAAACCAAAGAGUAAAUCAAAUUUUCAUCCAUGUUUAUAACUCUCUUUAACAAUCAUGCAAUUACAAACCGAAUCCUCAUCAUUGUGUUGGAAGGUACCCUAAGACACAAACAAACACACAAAAACAACUUUAAACCGACUCUUUUUGGGUUUUUUCAAAACUUUUUCUAUUUUUUUUCUUGAAUUUUCGGAUUUUUUUGGUAAAGCCACAUAAAAACACAUCAGAACUUUCUAAAAACACUUAAAAACAAUGAAAAACAACCUUUGAAAUGUUAGGUGGUAAAAUCCUACGAAUUUGACACAAAAACACUUUGUUUACCCCCCCACACUUAAACCAAACAUUGUCCUCAAUGUUUCAAACAUAGACUCACACAAGAACAAGCAAAUAUCACAACUAGCAAACAUGACAAAUAUGGCAAAGUAAAAGCAAUAUAGAGUAGGGUUUAGAAACGCAAAUCUGAUUAUGAUGCCGGAGCUUCCUAGGUCCUCUUUAGUUGCAUGGGUUGCCUCCCAAGAAGCGCUUGCUUUAACGUCUUCCAGCCGGACGAUGCUCCAUUGAAGGUUUAUGGAACCCCACAGCAUGGAGGGGUGUUUCCACAACCUGACCUACGAAAUACUUCAUUCUUUGGGUCCUUGAAUGGGAUGGGAUAAUGAUCCUUUCUAUUUGUCAUGUUUUGCUUCUCUAAAUCAAGUAUAAAGUGCAACUCAUUUUGUCAAACAAUAUUGAGUGCCCAUCUCGUAAAAGCUUAGAGAUAGAAAUCAAAUUCUUUAUACAUGAAGGAAAAUAUAAACAAUUUUUAAGUUCCAAGACUUCCCCAGAGGGCAGUUUAAGCAUGUAGGUGCCUAUUGCUUUAGCAGAGAUCUUAGUGCCGUUCCCAACUCGCACAAUCAUCUCCCCAUUGCGCAAUGUUCUGCUCCCUGUUAGUCCCUGCAACUAAUUGCAGAUAUGUUGACUAGCGCCUGAAUCAAAUAUCCAGGAAUUAGAGCUCAUUGUAAAAGCACUCUCUAUGACAGAAAUAGUCCCUUCAAAAGUUCGUGUCAUAAGGCUUGCAAUGCGCACCCUGUAUUUCUUCUUCUAACGUUCAUCCUUUCCACAAUGAAAGCAUGUUCCUUUGGAUUUUAUUGCCUUCUUCUUAUGUAACCUUUUCCUUGUGAUUGCAGUCUCACUCCCACUGUCCUUUUUGAAACCCUUGUUCAAACUUACAGCACAUGUCAAUCAUCUCGGUAAAAGUAUGAUUGAAUCUAUUCACUUUAUAGUUUACAAUAAACUUAGUGAAAUCAUCCGAGAGAGAUGCAAGGAAAAAGUCUUGGGCCAUUUUCCCAUCGAUGGAAGUUCCUAAACUUUCAAGAUCUUGAAAGAUCCUUUCCAUCUUUUGUCCAUGUUUUUGGACCGAUGUCCCCUUUGCGAAUCGUACAUUACUAGUCUCAAUGUCAUGCAUCUUAUGCAAACUUUCAACCAUGGCACAAGAAGUGUCCAUGUGCUUAUGUAGCUUCACAAGCUCCUCACUAAGUGAAGUGAGGAUUAAGCAUUUGGCUUGUAAGUCAUCCUCAUAGUGUCUAUCAUAAUUUUAACACUCCUCCUUUGAAGCUAGUUUCGUAGGAAGUACAUGAGGAGGGGAUUGCUUAAGCACAUACAAUAUGUCUUUCACCU
RNAcentral lists this long non-coding RNA (2966 nucleotides) under Malus domestica (apple). RNAcentral's name for it is "long non-coding RNA (MDOM_LNC020830)". Lineage: Eukaryota; Viridiplantae; Streptophyta; Magnoliopsida; Rosales; Rosaceae. The record is from RNAcentral.